RNAcentral lists this ribosomal RNA (360 nucleotides) under uncultured bacterium. Its description in RNAcentral is "bacterial SSU rRNA". It matches the Rfam family "Bacterial small subunit ribosomal RNA", at positions 29 to 415 of the family's 1533-position model. The record is from RNAcentral.
AACGAACGCUGGCGGCAGGCCUAACACAUGCAAGUCGAACGCUCGUAGCAAUACGAGAGUGGCAGACGGGUGAGUAACACGUGGGAACCUUCCCUAUGGUUCGGAAUAGCUCAGGGAAACUUGGGGUAAUACCGGAUAAGCCCUUCGGGGAAAGAUUAUCGCCAUUGGAUGGGCCCGCGUCGGAUUAGCUAGUUGGUGAGGUAACGGCUCACCAAGGCAACGAUCCGUAGCUGGUCUGAGAGGAUGAUCAGCCACACUGGGACUGAGACACGGCCCAGACUCCUACGGGAGGCAGCAGUGGGGAAUAUUGGACAAUGGGCGCAAGCCUGAUCCAGCCAUGCCGCGUGAAGUGACGAAGGU